RNAcentral lists this long non-coding RNA (287 nucleotides) under Elaeis guineensis (African oil palm). RNAcentral describes it as "long non-coding RNA (EGUI_LNC034299)". The record is from RNAcentral. Lineage: Eukaryota; Viridiplantae; Streptophyta; Magnoliopsida; Arecales; Arecaceae.
CGGGGUUAGGCUGAUGGGGCCGGAGUGGUGAGGUCAGGGCCGAUGGGGUUGGGGCGAUCGUGGGCAUGGCUGAAGCAUGGGCUCAGGGCUGCAGGACAUCGGAGUGCAGGGAGGGGGGAACCGUUGGGAAGGAGGCACCAGAGAGGUGGAGAACCAUCAAGAAGGAGGCACUGGCGAGGAGGGAAAAGCCAUGCGAGUUUAGGGCCAUAGGAUGUCGGAGCACAGGGAGGGGGGAACCGUCGGAAAGGAGGAAAGUGAGGGGAGAAAAGUUGGGAAGGAGGAGGCAU